GCCAAAGGCCAUACUACCUGCAGUUCAGACUUACUAACUCAUCUGAAGCUAAGCAGGUUUGGGCCUGGCUCAUACUUGGAUGGGAGACCAUCUAGGAAAGCUGGGCUGUUGUUGGAA
RNAcentral lists this ribosomal RNA (117 nucleotides) under Paramormyrops kingsleyae. The record is from RNAcentral. Lineage: Eukaryota; Metazoa; Chordata; Actinopteri; Osteoglossiformes; Mormyridae.